Molecule: long non-coding RNA, 2597 nt
Filed under: Dicentrarchus labrax (European seabass)
Lineage: Eukaryota; Metazoa; Chordata; Actinopteri; Moronidae
Description: lncRNA (ENSDLAG00005033294.1)
Source: RNAcentral
AUCAGUGUCUGACUGAUGCAAUGCAGCCAGAAAGUUGUUCAGCAGGAAAACUGCGCCAUCGCUCGCUCGUCCUCGUUCACACGCUUGGGGAGGAGUUCAUGGUUCCUGGGAGCAGCUGACAGACAACACACCUAGCACAAACACAUGAACAGGGAGAAGAUGAUCUGGAUCCUUCUGCUCGUCGGCCUGACCUCCUCUGUCUGUGGGAUGUUUGUCUUGAAAAAGACUCCGACCUUCUAUCAGGCAGAGGAGGACGAUAACAUCACCAUCGGAUGGGACAGUCCCAUCAUGUCCCUCACCAUCCUGCGUUGUUUCUUCCAGUCAGAGCCUCUGAAGCUUUUCUAUGAAAUGGUUGACGGUGUGGAGUCCUCAGAGUCUCAGCAUCAGCAGUUUGCAGGACGGGUGCAGUGUGACAAAGACGUCCUCAGAGGAGGACGAGUCAGACUUCAUAUGUCCAGAGUCAGGACUGAUGACUCUGGACGUUACUGGUGUGAUCUGGCUGCUAAUUAUGACAAGAUCAGGAGAAGAUGGGGGCUAGAGACCACUGAACAUUUUGUACUGAAUGUGGCCCAGACCAAUGAUGGAGAGAGCAGUGAUGUGUCUCUCAACUCAUCAAAGUCUCAAGUGGCAGCAACUAAAGGUCAACAUGGUGCAGGACAGCCACCAGGAAGCCCAAAACAUGAAGUCAUAGCUCCACUAUUAAUAGUAGCUUUGGUUUUUGUUGCUGUAAUCUUGGCAACUUGGACAUUUCUGACAGCAUGUGCUUGUGAAGACCGAGGACAACAACCUCAAGACCAGGAUGGACGUUACAUCGUGCUCCCGAUUGAGAUAGUCCCCAUCCUGACCCACUCCAGAUGUGAGUGGACAUUUGGCAGCAUUGACACUGAGCUUAUUUUGGGAUCCUAUUUCACUUUUUACAGUCUGGGUUCAAACUGCUAGAAUGAAGCACUAAAAUGAAGGUAAAGUUACAGUUAAUUAUCCUCUUCCCUGUCCAUGGAUGCUUGGAUUCAUCCUCACAGUAACAGCUUUAUAACAAGUGGGUUUCUAGCUACCAGAGACAAAUAUGUAUAUAGUGAGUUUGUCUUCUUUUUGAUGUAAGUGUUUUUCUACGUCUCACUGACCCGACUUGAUACAACUUGCAGAGACUUGAACAAGUCUCACACUGGACUGCUCCCAAAUAGGUUUCAUUAGACUGGAAAGGCAACGUCGUCACAAGCUAACAUGAUGAAUAGCAAUGUAUAUGUGGACACCAAAUGGAUUACAUUGUGCUGAUGCCAUUAUGCAAACAAAUUAUGACUCGCUACAUAGUCAAGAUAAAAUGCAUUACCAGUGCCUAAAAUAAUCACAAAAAACUGUAUCUAUAAUCUGAGGAAACAUCAAAAAAUAUCUAAAAAGCAAUGAUUUCUAUAAUAAUGUGAUCUGGUUGCUUUUAUAUAUUUAUAUAUGGAAAUGUGUCCUUUUUCAUUACUAUGCAACAAUGAUACAGACUCAGUGUGAGUAUUUCAAAAAUACUUGUUUGUGAUGUCCAUAUGUCAGUUUGCUGUGUUGCUGCUGGCUAAAGAGGACAUGGAGAGUUAAAUCCAACAUCUUUGAUGGUUACUCAGUAAAAAAGAACAGAAUAUUAUUUAUAUGUAUUAAAAAACACUCAAAAGUAGGAGGUCCUCUAAUGGAGCUACAGGCUAUGUACAGUAUUCAGAUCAAUGUCUGGAAGAAAUAAUGAUGGAUAUAUAUUGUGAAAUACAAAUUCAUUUGAUCAGGUCUGAUAUCAUUUCAGCGUUACCAUUUAGUUUUAAACUGUUUAUAUAGUUUAUAAGGACAAGAAACCAGAUGUGACAUUAUUAGUGCUAACGAGGGAUGUGGAAGGUUAGGUAGUUACUGGAUCGUUAUAAUGACAGUAGAGAUGUAAGGUAGUUUGGAAGCUUUAGAACAGUAGAGCUUUAUAAAUGAAUAACAUGGGAUGGAUAUUUCUAGUUGACAGUAAGUCCAUCCAACUCUUUGAUACAGAGAACAGUGAUGGGUGCAAGAUUAGUCAUUAGUGAUAAAGAGUAAUGCACUGUGAUACACAGGGUUUAACUGCUGAACUGCUGUUAUUGAUGUACAAAAUAAACAGCAAAGACCCAAGAAGAGACUCCUGUGGCAUCCCAUUUCUUUAAAAAACAUUUUUUGAAUGCAUUAUCAUCUGAGGUGGGACACCUAAACUCCUGUGUGUCUAUUUCCUGUUCUAACUAAAUCCAGUCAGCAGGACUGGAGCCAAGGACACUUUUCAGUGUUUUAGGAUUCUGACCAGAUUAAUGUUGAGGAUAUAAAUCUGUCAUAAAUGAAAGACAAUGUUAUAACAUUAUAUUGAGGAACUAAAUAUGCAUUCAAGUGAUGAAAAUGUGUUUUUGGUAUUUCUGUUCCUUGCCCCACUUUAUGAAAUAUGAUUGAGAAUGUGUGCUGCAUGCUCUGGUCAAUCUGGAAUAGUCAUUCAGGUUCUUGGAGGAAAUAUGCAUUUAAGGACUUUCUGAAGUUGCAUACAUUACACACAUGGUUGUUCAUCAUGUACAAAUAUGACAUGCUUGACCAUGUCUUUACCAACAUGGCCACACACGUCCUCC